GAUGAACGCUGGCGGCGUGCCUAAUACAUGCAAGUCGAGCGAACGGACGAGAAGCUUGCUUCUCUGAUGUUAGCGGCGGACGGGUGAGUAGCACGUGGAUAACCUACCUAUAAGACUGGGAUAACUUCGGGAAACCGGAGCUAAUACAGGAUCAUAUUUUGAACCGCAUGGUUCAAAAGUGAAAGACGGUCUUGCUGUCACUUAUAGAUGGAUCCGCGCUGCAUUAGCUAGUUGGUAAGGUAACGGCUUACCAAGGCAACGAUGCAUAGCCGACCUGAGAGGGUGAUCGGCCACACUGGAACUGAGACACGGUCCAGACUCCUACGGGAGGCAGCAGUGGGGAAUCUUCCGCAAUGGGCGAAAGCCUGACGGAGCAACGCCGCGUGAGUGAUGAAGGUCUUCGGAUCGUAAAACUCUGUUAUUAGGGAAGAACAUAUGUGUAAGUAACUGUGCACAUCUUGACGGUACCUAAUCAGAAAGCCACGGCUAACUACGUG
RNAcentral lists this ribosomal RNA (497 nucleotides) under uncultured bacterium. RNAcentral's name for it is "partial 16S ribosomal RNA". It matches the Rfam family "Bacterial small subunit ribosomal RNA", at positions 28 to 507 of the family's 1533-position model. The record is from RNAcentral.